ACGUAGGGGGCAAGCGUUGUCCGGAUUUACUGGGUGUAAAGGGCGCGUAGGCGGAUAUUUAAGUCAGAUGUGAAAGCCCCGGGCUUAACUCGGGGACUGCAUUUGAAACUGGGUAUCUUGAGGGCAGGAGAGGAAAGUGGAAUUCCUAGUGUAGCGGUGGAAUGCGUAGAUAUUAGGAGGAACACCAGUGGCGAAGGCGACUUUCUGGACUGUACCUGACGCUGAGGCGCGAAAGCAUGGGGAGCAAACGG
This 251-nucleotide ribosomal RNA is filed under the name uncultured prokaryote. Its description in RNAcentral is "partial 16S rRNA". It matches the Rfam family "Bacterial small subunit ribosomal RNA", at positions 525 to 775 of the family's 1533-position model. The record is from RNAcentral.